GAUGAACGCUGGCGGCGUGCCUAAUACAUGCAAGUCGAGCGAACGGACGAGAAGCUUGCUUCUCUGAUGUUAGCGGCGGACGGGUGAGUAACACGUGGAUAACCUACCUAUAAGACUGGGAUAACUUCGGGAAACCGGAGCUAAUACCGGAUAAUAUUUUGAACCGCAUGGUUAAAAAGUGAAAGACGGUCUUGCUGUCACUUAUAGAUGGAUCCGCGCUGCAUUAGCUAGUUGGUAAGGUAACGGCUUACCAAGGCAACGAUGCAUAGCCGACCUGAGAGGGUGAUCGGCCACACUGGAACUGGGACACGGUCCAGGCUCCUACGGGAGGCAGCAGUAGGGAAUCUUCCGCAGUGGGCGAAAGCCUGACGGAGCAACGCCGCGUGAGUGAUGAAGGUCUUCGGAUCGUAAAACUCUGUUAUUAGGGAAGAACAUAUGUGUAAGUAACUGUGCACAUCUUGACGGUACCUAAUCAGAAGGCCACGGCUAACUACGUG
Molecule: ribosomal RNA, 497 nt
Filed under: uncultured bacterium
Lineage: Bacteria
Description: partial 16S ribosomal RNA
Rfam family: Bacterial small subunit ribosomal RNA
Source: RNAcentral